GCGAACGCUGGCGGCAGGCCUAACACAUGCCAGUCGCACGAACUCUUCGGAGUUAGUGGCGGACGGGUGAGUAACACGUGGGAACGUGCCUUUUGGUUCGGAAUAACUCAGGGAAACUUGUGCUAAUACCGAAUGUGCCCUUCGGGGGAAAGAUUUAUCGCCAUUAGAGCGGCCCGCGUCUGAUUAGCUAGUUGGUGAGGUAACGGCUCACCAAGGCGACGAUCAGUAGCUGGUCUGAGAGGAUGACCAGCCACACUGGGACUGAGACACGGCCCAGACUCCUACGGGAGGCAGCAGUGGGGAAUCUUGCGCAAUGGGCGAAAGCCUGACGCAGCCAUGCCGCGUGAAUGAUGAAGGUCUUAGGAUUGUAAAAUUCUUUCACCGGGGACGAUAAUGACGGUACCCGGAGAAGAAGCCCCGGCUAACUUCGUG
RNAcentral lists this ribosomal RNA (432 nucleotides) under uncultured bacterium. RNAcentral's name for it is "partial 16S ribosomal RNA". It matches the Rfam family "Bacterial small subunit ribosomal RNA", at positions 29 to 507 of the family's 1533-position model. The record is from RNAcentral.